GAGGGUAUAGUUCAAUGGUAGAGUGUGUACCUAGCAGGCAUGAGGUCCUGGGUUCAAUCCCCAGUACCUCUG
This 72-nucleotide transfer RNA is filed under the name Camelus dromedarius (Arabian camel). It matches the Rfam family "tRNA". Rfam says of the family: Transfer RNA (tRNA) molecules are approximately 80 nucleotides in length. Their secondary structure includes four short double-helical elements and three loops (D, anti-codon, and T loops). RNAcentral also lists the same sequence under 1 other name. Lineage: Eukaryota; Metazoa; Chordata; Mammalia; Artiodactyla; Camelidae. The record is from Rfam by way of RNAcentral.